GGCCGCGCCCAGACCCGGAGGCGGGGCCGUCACGUGGGGCAGCGUGGGCCGCUGCCUUGGAAACGCAGAGCGCGCGCUCCAGGGUCUUUUUGGAGUUCCUGAGCUCAGUGCCCCAGAAGGCACAUACUUCAUAUGAAAUAUGAAGGAUUUCAUACUGCACAAGAAAAAGCCUUGAGAAAGACAGAAUUGCUUGUGGACCGUGCGUGUUCCACCCCACCUGGGCCCCAGACCGUGCUGAUCCUUGAUGAGCUCUCGGAUUCCUUGUGCAGAGUGACCGACUUGUUUCGAAAUGACCAGGCUGGCAGUUGGCUGAGCCAGUCUCUUAGAACCCUUUGAAGCACUGGAUGCAGGCUGAUGAGCUGCCAUAAACGUCUUUGAGUCCCAACACUGCUCAGGAACUGCAUAUCAUACCAAAGUCUGCCUGUGUGAUCCUUUAAUUUGUGAAUGUAAAAACUGAGGUGGGAGGCAAAUACUGAUGUUCUCAAAGACCCGUCUCAGCUAUUCCAUUCAAACAGAGCCCAGAAUCUUCAAAAUUCUGCUUCUUCAGCUUACCUCCUGUCUCAGGCUGGUUCCCCAGAAGCAUCCCAGAGAUGCAGAUUUGUGAGAAAGUGAUGUGUUGGGCAGUGUCCCCUGCAGGGAAGUGAGGAUGCAAGACAGUGAGAAGGAAGCCAAGCAAGAGUGCAAUGUCAAGCAAGGUCCCGUGCUUGCAGGGCACUGGCUCCUCCCACAGAGGAGAUUUGGAGACUGAGAGCCCCUCCCUCCAUUGGUCAAGGGCCAUCUCAGAGGGAUGCAUGUUUCUAGGUAUCCCCCACUCUCUCUGCACACAGGUAAAGGAGACUCCAGAAGCAUGAGGGCAGCCCUCUCACAAAGAAGCAUGGGUUCUGGAUACCGAGAGUAAAAGCAAACGUGGAGCCAAGGGGUGUGAAAAUGGGAAAGGGACCCAAGGAAAUAGAGUAGUGCAUCCACCAUGAGUAAGUGCCACAGUCACUGGGUCAGCACCUGCUGUGUCCAACACCAUGCUAAGUAUCGUGGAGAGGAGAGAAGUUACUAGACUUCCCUGCUGUCAUCCUUAAUGGACUAUUGUCUCUUCCCUAGACACCUCAAACUGGGAUUUAAGGUACAUAAGCUCUCAGAAAUGGCUUCCUGGAAUUAUGGCCAUGAACAUCAGUGAACUGUUAGGGUCCGUAGUUACAUCUGGAAAAUGACUGCCGUUUCAAUACACAGGAUUAGUUACAAUAACAGCAACAGCCAUAAUAAUAAUGUGGCAGAGACUAGCUUGAUGCUCAUCACAUCUCUACCUGGGCACAUAGCAAAGUUUUCUAUUCCAGCUCCCACCCUGGAUCUCGGGUCCUAGUUCUCAACAACGAAAUGCUUCCAAGCCAAGUUAAAGCAGCCACAACUUUCAAACGAAAACCUAAAGAUCCUGUGUUGAAGACAGUGGCACCUUAAAAUGCAAGGGCAGUAUCCUUGAGUCCUCAGGUCACCAGAAAGCCACCCGAUCAGGACCAUCGACACUAGACUCUGUGUUAGUGAGAAACAAACUUGUGUUAAGCCAUCAUGAUUUUAAAGUUGUUAGCAGUCAGCUUGCUCCAAUAGGAUGAACACUAAUAAACAUAGCGGUAACAACCUGCUGGGUAGUAUCAUUAUUCUCACUUUGUUGGUGAGGAACUUGAGGCCCAAAAUGGUCAGAAAGUUAGCAGAUGGCAGAGCUGGUAUUUCAAGUCUAUUUUUUAAUCCCUAUCUUGCACUCCUUGGUCACGUAAACCUUGUGUGAAUAUGUUUGAUGCUUUAAUGGAGCAAAGAGGAGAAUAUUAAAAUACCAGGUUUCUUGGGUGGGAUGUGGAGUGAGGAGGAAGAACACAAAACGGAAAGGCUCCACGCAUCAGAAGCCAAGCUUUGGGCACUCCACAGUUUUGCUAAAGACUUCCCUGUCUGCUCACAUCUGGUCUGUUCCCCAGUAUCCUCACUGUAUUAAAGUUGUUUCUUUGUCAUAUUUUGCUCUUUUUUCUGGUGUGAUUCUAUCAAUUACUUGCUACCAAGGAGAAGAAAUGAGAUGAUCAAAGGGGCAUCCCCCAAAUCCCCAAGGCUGUGCCCCUCAAGUUCAAGAAGAGAAAGCAGAGAACUCUUGUUUAACAUGGACGUGUUAGUCGCUGUCCCCUCUGCCAUCCCCCAACUUCGUUGUUCAUAGAACUCUGAUUUUGUUCAUCUUAUUCCAAGUUACCAAGUCCUUUAGGGAAGGCUAGGCUGCCCUCUUACCCAGGACUGAGAGUUCAUGGUUGAAGCUAGAGAGGACGGAGUGAUUUCCCCUGCUAAACAAUUGGUUCAGGCAUGUGACGCAAUUGGGCCAAUGGAGCUAAAAAAGGAAAUCUGCUGAUGGGGCUUCUGGGAAGGUUUCUCUUGGAAAAAAAAAGAAAAAGCCACAAGAUAAAAAUGUUUGCUUUUCUGCCUCUGGACUUGGGCUCUGUGUGUUGUUCCUGGAACCAAAGCACCUUGGGUCCAUUAAGACAGCAGCCUAUGAGGAUAAACCAGAACACUGGGGAUGGCAGGGUAGAAACAUCGAAAUAACCUGGAUCUUUAAGACACUGGUGAGCUGGUGAAUUAAUCAACCCUGGAACUGCCAUCCCCCCGGACUUCUUCUUAUGUGAGAUAACAAACCAUCUAAUUGUUCCAAUUAUGAUGAAUUAGGGUUUCUAUUACUUGCAGCCAAAUGCAUUCCAAAUGACUCAACUGAUAUUUUGUUCCAUGUUCUUUGAGAAGAGCAGAGAAAGAGUUUCUGACUACCACAACCCCUUUCUUAGUGGCUCAGUCAGCUUUCUAAGUAGAUUCUUAGUUUAUACUCUUUCCCACUUCUCUUACUCAUGAUUCCACUAAUCUUAAACCCCACAUGUUAGAGAGAGGCUCUGCUGAAUUCCAGCGUAACAAAUUCUCGCUUUUACCCUCCUCCCCUCAUUGGCCACCUGCCUGUUCUUAUGGUUGUAAGCAGGAGAAAGAUGUUGAAAACCAUGAGUCCUGACAGUGCUUAGUCAAGUGAUGGCAAAUGUUUUCUUGGGUUUCCAUAUGUGAGUAAUUGAAAAAAAAAAAGGGGGAAAAAGGCUCAUUUUUACUAACAUUAAUUAAUUCACACAAGGUCACAUUUUACAUCAUUUUAAUUAACUUUCAUUGAAUUCAUGUUCAAAAUGAGAGGCAAAAAAAUGUUCACUAAUAUAAGUCAUGAGGACCCUAGGAAUAAUAGCAUCGCAUAGAAAAUUGGAAGGAAAAUUUUUUCCUUCUCAUCGGAUGCAUGGUGGGGUUUGUGAAUUCCUAACUUUUCUCCCACAUAUCCCCCUCACGGAUGAUAGGAAGAAAUAGACUUGAAGGCAUUAACUCUUUCUGGAAGCCUUUCCCAAUACUUCUCACCCCUGCCUGUCUUCCUCCUCAGCCACUGGUUAGGUCCCCCAUCCCUGUUAACACCCUGAAAACUUCCAUCUCACAGCCACUACAUUAUCUUAAAAUUAACUAUUUACUUCUUCAUUUCUCCCACAAUACUGUGAGCUCCCUGAGGGGAAGAACUUGUGCUAUUUAUCUGUCUUCUAGCAUGAUACCUGGCAUAUAUUAGGUGCUUAAGUUUAUUGAAUGAAUGAAAGCCAAGAAUACUUUUCCUUGGUUUCAUUUUAAUUUCACUAAGGAUAAUUAUGUUUAUAUUGCUAUAUUACAUCGUGUAAAAUGGAAAUUAAAGGGAAAUUCCUUUAAUAGUAGCACCAAAGGGCUGCAUAUGGCAGGGUAGGUGACAGACCACAGCUGGUGGCUGGGCCACUCUCUGAAACGUGGACUUAGGAUUUGAGGGCUAGUCCUUGUGCCUCACACCUAGGAUAACAGAGAAGUCCUAAAGUAUGCCUGGUAGCACAUCUGCACUCUUCUGGGUGGCUUCCAGAGAUACUUUUGUUCCAUGUUUUGGCUUUUACGACGGUCCCCAAAUUAAGCAAAGGCAUUUUUCUUAGCUGAGCUAACAAUGAUUCUCUAGAUACUUGCUUAUCUAACUUGUAAAUCCCCUGCCACUCAUUUGUUAUUUGUCAGCAAUCCCCUAUCAGAUGAAAUUUCAUCCCACUCGUGCUGUUGAG
Molecule: long non-coding RNA, 4097 nt
Filed under: Homo sapiens (human)
Lineage: Eukaryota; Metazoa; Chordata; Mammalia; Primates; Hominidae
Description: novel transcript
Source: RNAcentral